GAUGAAGAACGCAGCGAAAUGUGAUAAGUAGUGUGAAUUGCAGAAUUCAGUGAAUCAUCGAAUCUUUGAACGCACAUUGCGCCCUUUGGUAUUCCAAAGGGCAUGCCUGUUCGAGCGUCAUUUGUACCCUCAAGCUUUGCUUGGUGUUGGGCGUCUUGUCUCUAGCUUUGCUGGAGACUCGCCUUAAAGUAAUUGGCAGCCGGCCUACUGGUUUCGGAGCGCAGCACAAGUCGCACUCUCUAUCAGCAAAGGUCUAGCAUCCAUUAAGCCUUUUUUUCAACUUUUGACCUCGGAUCAGGUAGGGAUACCCGCUGAACUUAAGCAUAUCAAUAAGCGGAGGA
This 341-nucleotide unclassified non-coding RNA is filed under the name soil metagenome. Its description in RNAcentral is "partial contains 5.8S ribosomal RNA, internal transcribed spacer 2, and large subunit ribosomal RNA". The stretch from base 1 to 120 matches the Rfam family "5.8S ribosomal RNA", at positions 35 to 154 of the family's 154-position model. The record is from RNAcentral.